RNAcentral lists this ribosomal RNA (426 nucleotides) under uncultured bacterium. RNAcentral describes it as "partial 16S ribosomal RNA". It matches the Rfam family "Bacterial small subunit ribosomal RNA", at positions 354 to 796 of the family's 1533-position model. The record is from RNAcentral.
GUGAGGAAUUUUCCGCAAUGGGCGAAAGCCUGACGGAGCAAUGCCGCGUGAAGGAUGAAGGCCUAUGGGUUGUAAACUUCUUUUCUCAGAAAAGAAUUAUGACGGUAUCUGAGGAAUAAGCAUCGGCUAACUCUGUGCCAGCAGCCGCGGUAAGACAGAGGAUGCAAGCGUUAUCCGGAAUGAUUGGGCGUAAAGCGUCUGUAGGUUGUUUAAAAAGUAUUCUGUCAAAGAUUAGGGCUUAACCCUAGAUAGGCAGAAUAAACUUUUAAGCUAGAGUUUGGUAGAGGCAGAGGGAAUUCCCGGUGGAGCGGUGAAAUGCGUAGAUAUCGGGAGGAACACCAAAGGCGAAGGCACUCUGCUGGGCCAAUACUAACACUGAGAGACGAGAGCGAGGGGAGCAAAUGGGAUUAGAAACCCGUGUAGUCC